CCUACGGGUGGCAGCAGUAGGGAAUAUUGCUCAAUGGGGGAAACCCUGAAGCAGCAACGCCGCGUGGAGGAUGAAGGUUUUCGGAUUGUAAACUCCUUUUGUUAGAGAAGAUAAUGACGGUAUCUAACGAAUAAGAACCGGCGAACUCCGUGCCAGCAGCCGCGGUAAUACGGAGGGUGCAAGCGUUACUCGGAAUCACUGGGCGUAAAGAGCGCGUAGGCGGGAUAGCAAGUCAGAUGUGAAAUCCUAGGGCUUAACCAUAGAACUGCAUUUGAAACUGUUAUUCUAGAGUAUGGGAGAGGUAGGUGGAAUUCUUGGUGUAGGGGUAAAAUCCGUAGAGAUCAAGAGGAAUACUCAUUGCGAAGGCGACCUGCUAGAACAUAACUGACGCUGAUGCGCGAAAGCGUGGGGAGCAAACAGGAUUAGAUACCCGGGUAGUC
Molecule: ribosomal RNA, 440 nt
Filed under: uncultured bacterium
Lineage: Bacteria
Description: partial 16S ribosomal RNA
Rfam family: Bacterial small subunit ribosomal RNA
Source: RNAcentral